RNAcentral lists this unclassified non-coding RNA (716 nucleotides) under Hevea brasiliensis (rubber tree). Lineage: Eukaryota; Viridiplantae; Streptophyta; Magnoliopsida; Malpighiales; Euphorbiaceae. The record is from RNAcentral.
GAACUUGAAUAAAAUUUCUCUGCAUAGAAAUAUCUGGCAUAAUGCUGAAAGAUAAUUAUUUUCUUACACUCAAAGUAAACUACUAACUUAUGGGUUACUACUUUAUUGGAAGAAUUGUCAAAAUAGAAACUAGCACAUGGAAAUGGAAGACUGAAUAUAAAAGCUCUGGAAUUAUAAGAGGUGUAGCAAAUGGUGGACCAUGAAUCACAAACUGUGCACAUUACAACCAUAUUCCAGAUAUGCUAUCCUUUUUAUGUUGAUACUUCUCUUGGUUGUUUCCAUUAGCUCUGAAAUAUUGUUCUUAUUUAAUAUGAUAAUCCACAGGUUUCAAUUUCCUAUUGUAUCUAUUUGGAUCUUUGGUUCUAAAGAAUAUGACGAGGACGAUCAAUCAUUUCCAGUCAAUCAUUUGGUGAGGCUUCAGAGUUCAGUGAAAUACUUCCAAUUCUAAGUGUAAUUCCACCAGAUUUAAGAAUUCCAAAACUACCAGAAACAUCUGAAGGGAGGCUUCACAUUGAAAAUCCAUAAUAUGUCAGAGCUAGGAAUCUACUUUCUAAAUCCAGAUAUGUUAAUGCAAUCUCUAAACAUUUCACAGAAGUAUCUCAAGUGAACCUAUCUAACAGAGAUGUGAACACUAGUUUGUACUACCAUGUUAGGUGAUUCUUAAACAAAAAUAAUGUGCAAAGCAACAUAUUCAUUGGCAUGCAGGAAUUAUUUUU